Molecule: ribosomal RNA, 479 nt
Filed under: uncultured bacterium
Lineage: Bacteria
Description: bacterial SSU rRNA
Rfam family: Bacterial small subunit ribosomal RNA
Source: RNAcentral
GACGAACGCUGGCGGCAUGCCUAACACAUGCAAGUCGAACGGAACUUAUCGAAUGAAGUUUUCGGAUGGAUUUUGGUAAGUUUAGUGGCGGACGGGUGAGUAACGCGUGAGCAACCUGCCUUUCAGAGGGGGACAACAGUUGGAAACGACUGCUAAUACCGCAUAAUGUCAUUUGGGGGCAUCCUCGAAUGACCAAAGAUUUAUUGCUGAAAGAUGGUCUCGCGUCUGAUUAGCUAGAUGGCGGGGUAACGGCCCACCAUGGCGACGAUCAGUAGCCGGUCUGAGAGGAUGAACGGCCACAUUGGGACUGAGAUACGGCCCAGACUCCUACGGGAGGCAGCAGUGGGGAAUAUUGGGGCAAUGGGCGAAAGCCUGACCCAGCAACGCCGCGUGAAGGAAGAAGGGUCUUCGGAUUGUAAACUUUGUCUUUGGUGAAGAUAGUGACGGUAGCCAAGGAGGAAGCCACGGCUAACUACGUG